RNAcentral lists this ribosomal RNA (426 nucleotides) under uncultured bacterium. RNAcentral's name for it is "partial 16S ribosomal RNA". It matches the Rfam family "Bacterial small subunit ribosomal RNA", at positions 354 to 796 of the family's 1533-position model. The record is from RNAcentral.
GUUAGGAAUCUUCCACAAUGGGGGCAACCCUGAUGGAGCAACACCGCGUGCUGGAUGAAGGCCUUCGGGUCGUAAACAGCUUUUGUAUACGAAGAAUAUGACGGUAAUAUACGAAUAAGGGUCGGCUAACUACGUGCCAGCAGCCGCGGUCAUACGUAGGACCCAAGCGUUAUCCGGAGUGACUGGGCGUAAAGAGUUGCGUAGGCGGCUUAUUAAGCGAGUAGUGACAUCUGGUGGCUCAACCAUCAACACAUUGCUCGAACUGAUAGGCUUGAGAAUGGUAGAGUUAGUUGGAAUUUCUUGUGUAGGAGUGAAAUCCGUAGAUAUAAGAAGGAACACCAAUGGCGUAGGCAGACUACUGGACCAUUUCUGACGCUGAGGCACGAAAGCGUGGGGAGCGAACCGGAUUAGAAACCCUUGUAGUCC